UACGAAGGGGGCUAGCGUUGCUCGGAAUUACUGGGCGUAAGGGCGCGUAGGCGGACAGUUUAGUCAGAGGUGAAAGCCCAGGGCUCAACCUUGGAACUGCCUUUGAUACUGACUGUCUUGAGUUCGGGAGAGGUGAGUGGAAUGCCGAGUGUAGAGGUGAAAUUCGUAGAUAUUCGGCGGAACACCAGUGGCGAAGGCGACUCACUGGCCCGAUACUGACGCUGAGGCGCGAAAGCGUGGGGAGCAACAGG
RNAcentral lists this ribosomal RNA (251 nucleotides) under uncultured bacterium. Its description in RNAcentral is "partial 16S ribosomal RNA". It matches the Rfam family "Bacterial small subunit ribosomal RNA", at positions 524 to 775 of the family's 1533-position model. The record is from RNAcentral.